AGUCGAACGGUAGCACAGGAGAGCUUGCUCUUUGGGUGACGAGUGGCGGACGGGUGAGUAAUGUCUGGGAAACUGCCCGAUGGAGGGGGAUAACUACUGGAAACGGUAGCUAAUACCGCAUAACGUCUACGGACCAAAGUGGGGGACCUUCGGGCCUCACACCAUCGGAUGUGCCCAGAUGGGAUUAGCUUGUUGGUGAGGUAAUGGCUCACCAAGGCGACGAUCCCUAGCUGGUCUGAGAGGAUGACCAGCCACACUGGAACUGAGACACGGUCCAGACUCCUACGGGAGGCAGCAGUGGGGAAUAUUGCACAAUGGGCGCAAGCCUGAUGCAGCCAUGCCGCGUGUAUGAAGAAGGCCUUCGGGUUGUAAAGUACUUUCAGCGGGGAGGAAGGGAGUGAGGUUAAUAACCUCGUUCAUUGACGUUACCCGCAGAAGAAGCACCGGCUAACUCCGUGCCAGCAGCCGCGGUAAUACGGAGGGUGCAAGCGUUAAUCGGAAUUACUGGGCGUAAAGCGCACGCAGGCGGUCUGUCAAGUCGGAUGUGAAAUCCCCGGGCUCAACCCGGGAACUGCA
Molecule: ribosomal RNA, 576 nt
Filed under: bacterium 01-L049616-122-011-A01
Lineage: Bacteria
Description: bacterial SSU rRNA
Rfam family: Bacterial small subunit ribosomal RNA
Source: RNAcentral